Molecule: transfer RNA, 73 nt
Filed under: Anguis veronensis (Italian slow worm)
Lineage: Eukaryota; Metazoa; Chordata; Lepidosauria; Squamata; Anguidae
Description: tRNA-Asn
Source: RNAcentral
CUAGAUACACGGGCCUUGAUCCCGUAAACAAUUAAUUAACAGCUAAUCACUCUAUCCAGCGAGCUUAUAUCUA